Anastrepha obliqua is the source of this 84-nucleotide small nucleolar RNA. Lineage: Eukaryota; Metazoa; Arthropoda; Insecta; Diptera; Tephritidae. The record is from RefSeq and is a predicted model, not a curated record.
GAAAUUUACAUGAUGACAAUUUCAUACCCUAUAACUGAGCAAAAAUGCUGAUAUUUUAUCAUGCACUACCAUCUGAAAAAUUUC